This 252-nucleotide ribosomal RNA is filed under the name uncultured Saccharibacillus sp. Its description in RNAcentral is "partial 16S ribosomal RNA". It matches the Rfam family "Bacterial small subunit ribosomal RNA", at positions 524 to 776 of the family's 1533-position model. Lineage: Bacteria; Bacillati; Bacillota; Bacilli; Caryophanales; Paenibacillaceae. The record is from RNAcentral.
UACGUAGGGGGCAAGCGUUGUCCGGAAUUAUUGGGCGUAAAGCGCGUGCAGGCGGCGGUUUAAGUCGGAUGUUUAAGAUCGGGGCUCAACCCCGAUUCGCAUCCGAAACUGGGCCGCUUGAGUGUAGGAGAGGAAAGUGGAAUUCCACGUGUAGCGGUGAAAUGCGUAGAGAUGUGGAGGAACACCAGUGGCGAAGGCGACUUUCUGGCCUAUAACUGACGCUGAGGCGCGAAAGCGUGGGGAGCAAACAGG